RNAcentral lists this long non-coding RNA (497 nucleotides) under Zostera marina. RNAcentral describes it as "long non-coding RNA (ZMAR_LNC004639)". Lineage: Eukaryota; Viridiplantae; Streptophyta; Magnoliopsida; Alismatales; Zosteraceae. The record is from RNAcentral.
UUUUAAUCACUCCUCUCCUAGCUAAAUCCAUGAUCGCACGAAGAUUUAGAUGCCCCAAUCGAUUGUGCCAAGUCAUAACAGUGGCUUGUACUCCCACAUGAUUAACCUCCUUCCUUAGAUUCCUCCUCAAUGGUAGCCUAUAUAGAUCCAUUCCCUUCAGAGUCACCCUUGAGUAGCACCUUCUUGCUCUUUAAAUCCUUUACCACCACAUUCUGUGGAUCAAAUUCAAUAGAAACAAGAUUAUCACAGCAAAAUCUUCUUACUGUCAACAGAUUUUUUGAAGCAGAUGGAACAUUAAGCAAAUCAUUCAGAUAGAAAUUCUUAUUAUUAGAUAUAAAAUGAGAAUCACCAGUGUGAGAAAUAUCCAUAGGUUGACCAUUAGCUGCAUAGAUAGAUUUGUUACCUCGAUAUUUUUUGAUUGUAUGCACAUUUUCUGCAGUGCUGGUGACAUGAUGUGUGGCUCCAGAAUCUGGAUACCACACCGAAGUUGCAUCAUC